AACGCGAAGAACCUUACCUGGUCUUGACAUCCUCGGAAGCUGCUAGAGAUAGCGGGGUGCCCGCAAGGGAACCGAGAGACAGGUGCUGCAUGGCUGUCGUCAGCUCGUGUCGUGAGAUGUUGGGUUAAGUCCCGCAACGAGCGCAACCCUCGCCUUUAGUUGCCACGCAAGUGGAUCUCUAGAGGGACUGCCGGUGUUAAACCGGAGGAAGGUGGGGAUGACGUCAAGUCCUCAUGGCCUUUAUGACCAGGGCUACACACGUGCUACAAUGGCCGGUACAAAGCGCUGCCAACUCGUAAGAGGGAGCCAAUCGCAUAAAACCGGUCUCAGUUCAGAUUGAAGUCUGCAACUCGACUUCAUGAAGGCGGAAUCGCUAGUAAUCGCGGAUCAGCACGCCGCGGUGAAUACGUUCCCGGGCCUUGUACACACCGCGAGC
This 436-nucleotide ribosomal RNA is filed under the name uncultured bacterium. RNAcentral's name for it is "bacterial SSU rRNA". It matches the Rfam family "Bacterial small subunit ribosomal RNA", at positions 958 to 1397 of the family's 1533-position model. The record is from RNAcentral.